AAACCCCCUUUUCACUCAUUUAUUCCCUCAUGAUCCACUAUUCACUCCCAUUGUCCCCAAACCUACCAUCUUUCCCCUUUGAAUUCACUUGGCCGACCAUAGAACCUAAAACCUUCCCCAUUUCAUUUUUAAUUUUUCUUUUUGCUCUCCUCCUCUCCUUUAACUGCACCACCACCCUCCUCCACCAUUUCUUCUCAUUUUUCUUCAAUUUUCACCACCUUUAAAACCCUUUUACCUCUUUUCUCUUCCACUCCACCACCAUACAAGGCCACUGCACUACCACCU
This 285-nucleotide long non-coding RNA is filed under the name Gossypium raimondii (Peruvian cotton). RNAcentral's name for it is "long non-coding RNA (GRAI_LNC001478)". The record is from RNAcentral. Lineage: Eukaryota; Viridiplantae; Streptophyta; Magnoliopsida; Malvales; Malvaceae.